UACGUAGGGGGCUAGCGUUGUCCGGAAUCAUUGGGCGUAAAGGGCGCGUAGGCGGCUUGGUCAGUCAGGCGUGAAAUUCCUGGGCUUAACCUGGGGACUGCGCUUGAUACGGCCAGGCUUGAGGAUGGAAGAGGGUCGCGGAAUUCCCAGUGUAGAGGUGAAAUUCGUAGAUAUCGAGAGGAACACCGGUGGCGAAGGCGGCCUUCUGGACAGUGACUGACGCUGAGACGCGAAAGCGUGGGGAGCAAACAGG
This 253-nucleotide ribosomal RNA is filed under the name uncultured bacterium. RNAcentral describes it as "partial 16S ribosomal RNA". It matches the Rfam family "Bacterial small subunit ribosomal RNA", at positions 524 to 776 of the family's 1533-position model. The record is from RNAcentral.